GUGUGUUUCACUAAGUUGGGUUGACUAGUUCCCAGAAGAGUUCUGUACAUGUUGCACGUUCAGUAAAUGAGCAAUUCAGUUACUGCUCGACUGAGAAGCCUCCGCCAAAUUAUUACAAUAUUCUCCACUGACUGAAGUUCGCCUUUGGCAACGCAGUGGCAAGCACACAUUUGCAGCAGCUGUGCAUGUGCAUACAACUGCAUGCAGCAGAUUAGAUGAUCAGAAUUCUUGAACCUUACACACAGGCAAGUCCCCUAAAAAGUCAAAACCAUAAUACUUUCACUGGUAUCAUACUGACAAAUGGCAUAGGUUGGAGGAAAAUCUGGAAAUGGUUGGCAGUGAAAGAGUUAAAAUGUAAUGCACUAUUGCAACCAACCACUGAAAGAGUAAAAAUACACAAACAGUAUGAUGAACCAUUCAAAUCACAUAAUACAGUAGCACUACUGCUAAUGUGUUAACGGUAGGUAUAACUACUACCGCAAUUUUAAAAAAUACAGUAAGUAAAUGUAAAUAACCUUAAUAUACCCAUAAUGCAAAGCAAAUUACAGUAAUUAACUGUAGAAAUGUUUUCAGGUAAGUUACUGGGCAUUUUGUGGUAUUUUACUGUGAAAAAUACAGCAAAGGUUAACAGUGUUGUAUCAGCGAUCAAUUUAGUGGAACAAUUUAUUAUAUACAUUGACUAUAAAGGAUCUAAAGUGAUUUGAUUUGUUACUAGCUUGCAGUGAUAGGUGGAUAGUAGUGAUUAUAUUCAUAAAAAUGGUAUUCAAUAGGACUAGAGUGUAAAUGGUACACAGCAAUGGACCUAAAUUGUGAGUUAACAGCACUCUGGAAUUUGCUUUCGCCUUCUUGUCAGGACUGUUGUUUGCUGCCCAAACACAAGAAGGACCCUUAUGUGCUUUCGGGUAUUUUUGGCAUUUGGUUGCUAAGUCUGCUUUAGAGCUUUUACUGACUUCAGGCUUUGUUCUGCACUCUGGGAAACUUGCAGCAGCUGUGUUGGGAAUUGAGCACAGGUUCAGUUUACAUCCACAGAUCCACUAACAUGAAUAGAAAACAGUAAAGUAGCACAGGCAUUUCAAAACAAGGCUUCAGAUUUGUGUGUAUGUGUGUGUGUCUAAUGUAAUAGUAGCUUUUGUAGUUUUACUUUGACUUCUAUAGAAAUCAUUUCUGAGGAAUGUAUAACAUGAAUAUGCAUCUUUUAAACUGCAAUAAAACUGAUGCUGAAUAUUUACAUGUUAAAUUUUCUAUGGUUUUUUUUUGCAUGUAUUUUUUUUACCUGCUGCUGAGUUGCAUGUCACCGAGCAGUUGAUGAUUUAUGUGUGUUAUCCCAAGAGGGAGGAGCAUCUUCAGAUUCUGUAAAC
This is a long non-coding RNA of Astatotilapia calliptera (eastern happy), 1358 nucleotides long. The record is from Ensembl. Lineage: Eukaryota; Metazoa; Chordata; Actinopteri; Cichliformes; Cichlidae.